AUAUAAAAUUAAAUAUAAUUCAUAUUUAACCGAACCGAAAUAACCUAGUAAGGACUGCUGGACAUGCAAUUUACCAAAAAAAGAAAGAAAAAAAAACCACAUCUUUUACUGCUGGACAGAGGACUACACACCCUGGCCAUUUGGCGGGGACCUGGUACACGCCCUAUUCUGUGUAUUCUGUGUCCAAGUGCUGCCCCUGCUGGAACAUACCAAAAUGCCCUGCAUCAUGCUUGCCCACUUGUAAAAAACUCGUCCUUGAGUUGCAACGAACCAACAUAGCUCACGUAUCAUUCUCCCCCACUUGAAAUAAACCCUUCCUGGAAUUUUGAAGUGAAAGAGAAUGAAAAUCUUCAUUGGGAAUGUGCACCAUAUAGCCCUCUUGGAUGAAGUAGCCAAUGGAAAAUUAUGCAAGACUUUGAUUGCAUUCAUCUUUGUUUCCACAAGAACAUCUGAACAAAUAAAAUCAAUGGAAACAAUAAAAAUUAACGAGUUAGAAAAAUCUUCAAUCUCUAUCUCUUUGAUUUGAUUUUCUUCAAUCUCCAAUAUUAUCUCCAUGGAUUUUUUUUUUCUCAACUACCAUUGAAAUUUCCAUGGCAUGAUAUUUGUUGUUCCCUUUGACACGUUCUUCCAUUCUUCGUCUUCAACCAUAGCUUCUAGUUCCUAUCAUUCGACAUUAGUCUCCUCAACUUCAAGUUGAGUUUUGGAUUCAAGUUGUUCUUGCCUUUCUACCCUUUCCACUAAUGGAUGUUUGGGUUGGGUGCCCUUGCACUCGGCUAUAAAUCAAGAUAGUGCUUCGAGUUAUGGUUGGAAAAGCCCUCUCAUCAUAUCCAUAUGUGCCUCUUUUCCGAUAGUCACUAUUCCAUUGAUGCCUAUCGUACUUGAUUGGUUCCAAGUCAUCUUCCUUUGAAUCUCCUUCGUAAAUUCAAGAAUUAGUUGAUAUGCUUCUCUUUUAUAUCUUUCGUUGUGUGGAUGUCUAUAUAACCUGUUUGGUUCAUAAUUAUUUUCCUCUUCCGUGUCUUCCUUGUAGACAUAUAGGCUAUGUGCGAAAAAAGUUUUGUUGAUUUGGUUACCACUAGCUAACUUUACUGUUGGCCUUCUGUCAUCGUACUUAUCCCUGUUUGUAUUGAUUCCCAAAGCAUCAAGAUGAUCUACAUUUCUUCAAGGUGUCCCUCCAUAAACCUGAAUUUGAGAUCCAUCCGUUGCUCCAAAACGCUGCUCCCAUCAUUGCAAUAUUUCGUCCCUAUGGUCAAGGGCAUUAGUUCCCCAAUCAUCGUCGCAAGAACCACUUUAAUUGCCACCUUCAUCAAGGUAAGCCAUCUUGAUUGGGGGCGAUUUCUUCGCUUUGAUACCACUUGACGUAGCGUGAAGCUCACAAAGAAACACAGGCUAUACACCGAGUGAAAAUUGAGAGAAUUCUCAACAGAAUUUUUAUUGCUGAAAAUCUGUACUCAAAUACGUAAAAAUCUGGGAUAUUUAUAGAGUUCUUAAACUCUGAAACACAAUAGGAAAAGAUCUCUACUAAAUAGGAAGUUAAAAUAAACCAAAGUACUCGAAGAAACCUAGAUAAAAUAGGAGUAAAAGUAAUCCUAGAUAGAAUAGGAAAAUGUAAUUAAAUCCUAAAUAAAGUUGGAAGCUUCCUAAAUUAAUUCUAAUUGUGAUUUUGCUGCUGUUGCUUAAUAAACAAGAAGUAUCAAGUGAAUUAGGACAGCUGGACAUGCGAUUUACCAAAAAAAAAAGGCUGACUUUCACUACUGGACAGAACCGCACGCCACAGGCAUGUGGCAGAGUGCUUUUACACGCCCAGGGCGUGUGCUACACUGCCAAAACUCCCCAAACUUGCUGCCACCACGUUUUUGUCCCAAAAGCCCAAAAUAGGACCACGUCAAAAAUACAAUAAGAAAGCCCAGUAGAUUCAAAAAUAAUGAUCAACAUAGCCUAAUGAAAUAUUUGCAGAAGACAUAGCCAGACAUAGAUAUGACAAUGAUGAGACAUUCUUCAAGAAUUAAAGACAAAGGAAUUAAACAGGAUAUAGAAAAAAAACUGAACAUAGCAUUCACUUGCCUCAGUAUUGUGUCAGAUAACUGC
Molecule: unclassified non-coding RNA, 2085 nt
Filed under: Hevea brasiliensis (rubber tree)
Lineage: Eukaryota; Viridiplantae; Streptophyta; Magnoliopsida; Malpighiales; Euphorbiaceae
Source: RNAcentral